This 468-nucleotide ribosomal RNA is filed under the name uncultured bacterium. Its description in RNAcentral is "partial 16S ribosomal RNA". It matches the Rfam family "Bacterial small subunit ribosomal RNA", at positions 28 to 507 of the family's 1533-position model. The record is from RNAcentral.
GACGAACGCUGGCGGCGUGCUUAACACAUGCAAGUCGAACGGAAAGGCCCUGCUUUUGUGGGGUGCUCGAGUGGCGAACGGGUGAGUAACACGUGAGUAACCUGCCCUUGACUUUGGGAUAACUUCAGGAAACUGGGGCUAAUACCGGAUAGGAGCUCCUGCUGCAUGGUGGGGGUUGGAAAUUUUCGGCGGUUGGGGAUGGACUCGCGGCUUAUCAGCUUGUUGGUGGGGUAGUGGCUUACCAAGGCUUUGACGGGUAGCCGGCAUGAGAGGGUGAACGGCCACAUUGGGACUGAGAUACGGCCCAGACUACAACGGGAGGCAGCAGUGGGGAAUAUUGCACAAUGGGAGGAAGCCUGAUGCAGCAACGCCGCGUGCGGGAUGAAGGCCUUCGGGUUGUAAACCGCUUUCGCCUGUGACGAAGCGUGAGUGACGGUAAUGGGUAAAGAAGCACCGGCUAACUACGUG